RNAcentral lists this ribosomal RNA (606 nucleotides) under Curvularia lunata. Its description in RNAcentral is "partial large subunit ribosomal RNA". It matches the Rfam family "Eukaryotic large subunit ribosomal RNA", at positions 37 to 658 of the family's 3401-position model. The record is from RNAcentral. Lineage: Eukaryota; Fungi; Ascomycota; Dothideomycetes; Pleosporales; Pleosporaceae.
UGCAUAUCAAUAAGCGGAGGAAAAGAAACCAACAGGGAUUGCCUUAGUUACGGCGAGUGAAGCGGCAACAGCUCAAAUUUGAAAUCUGGCUCUUUCAGAGUCCGAGUUGUAAUUUGCAGAGGGCGCUUUGGCUUUGGCAGCGGUCCAAGUUCCUUGGAACAGGACGUCACAGAGGGUGAGAAUCCCGUACGUGGUCGCUAGCUAUUGCCGUGUAAAGCCCCUUCGACGAGUCGAGUUGUUUGGGAAUGCAGCUCUAAAUGGGAGGUAAAUUUCUUCUAAAGCUAAAUAUUGGCCAGAGACCGAUAGCGCACAAGUAGAGUGAUCGAAAGAUGAAAAGCACUUUGGAAAGAGAGUCAAACAGCACGUGAAAUUGUUGAAAGGGAAGCGCUUGCAGCCAGACUUGCUUGCAGUUGCUCAUCCGGGCUUUUGCCCGGUGCACUCUUCUGCAGGCAGGCCAGCAUCAGUUUGGGCGGUGGGAUAAAGGUCUCUGACACGUUCCUUCCUUCGGGUUGGCCAUAUAGGGGAGACGUCAUACCACCAGCCUGGACUGAGGUCCGCGCAUCUGCUAGGAUGCUGGCGUAAUGGCUGUAAGCGGCCCGUCUUGAA